UGAGGAAUAUUGGUCAAUGGACGGAAGUCUGAACCAGCCAAGUAGCGUGCAGGAUGACGGCCCUAUGGGUUGUAAACUGCUUUUGUAUGGGGAUAAAGUUAGGGACGUGUCCCUAUUUGCAGGUACCAUACGAAUAAGGACCGGCUAAUUCCGUGCCAGCAGCCGCGGUAAUACGGAAGGUCCAGGCGUUAUCCGGAUUUAUUGGGUUUAAAGGGAGCGUAGGCUGGAGAUUAAGUGUGUUGUGAAAUGUAGACGCUCAACGUCUGAAUUGCAGCGCAUACUGGUUUCCUUGAGUACGCACAACGUUGGCGGAAUUCGUCGUGUAGCGGUGAAAUGCUUAGAUAUGACGAAGAACUCCGAUUGCGAAGGCAGCUGACGGGAGCGCAACUGACGCUUAAGCUCGAAGGUGCGGGUAUCAAACAGGAUUAGAUACCCUGGUAGUCCGCACAGUAAACGAUGGAUGCCCGCUGUUGGUACCUGGUAUCAGCGGCUAAGCGAAAGCAUUAAGCAUCCCACCUGGGGAGUACGACCGCAAGGUUG
RNAcentral lists this ribosomal RNA (540 nucleotides) under uncultured bacterium. RNAcentral's name for it is "bacterial SSU rRNA". It matches the Rfam family "Bacterial small subunit ribosomal RNA", at positions 355 to 896 of the family's 1533-position model. The record is from RNAcentral.